UACGUAGGGUGCAAGCGUUAAUCGGAAUUACUGGGCGUAAAGCGUGCGCAGGCGGUUGUGCAAGACAGAUGUGAAAUCCCCGGGCUCAACCUGGGAACUGCAUUUGUGACUGCACAGCUUGAGUGCGGCAGAGGGGGAUGGAAUUCCGCGUGUAGCAGUGAAAUGCGCAGAUAUCAGGAGGAACACCAAUGGCGAAGGCAGCUCGCUGGACCUUUUCUGACGCUGAGGCGCGAAAGCUAGGGGAGCAAACGGG
RNAcentral lists this ribosomal RNA (253 nucleotides) under uncultured bacterium. RNAcentral describes it as "partial 16S ribosomal RNA". It matches the Rfam family "Bacterial small subunit ribosomal RNA", at positions 524 to 776 of the family's 1533-position model. The record is from RNAcentral.